This is a non-coding RNA of Pelobates cultripes (western spadefoot toad), 97 nucleotides long. Lineage: Eukaryota; Metazoa; Chordata; Amphibia; Anura; Pelobatidae. The record is from the annotation of a GenBank genome assembly.
GAUCCCCAGAUGUUUUCAAACUACAGCUUCCAUGGUGCUUUGUCAUUCUAAAGGCAUGCAAAGCAUCAUGGGAGUUGUAGUUUGAGAACAUCUGGGG